CAAGUCGCUUCGAAAGUUUGGAGUCCCGCGCAUUUAACGGAACAUCCCGAACAGUUACUGAGUAGAUAAAAAAAAAGGAAAACAGAAAAAAUAGAAAAAUUGGAAAUAUUGUUCACAAAAUCUUUCCUGCGGCGGGUGGCCGCGAAUAUGAAUUUCGAUUCAAAUUUCAUGUUGUGUUUUGAGUGAGUGCAGCUGAUCGUAUUGUUGCAGAAGUGUUCGUAGUUUGAAGAGUUUUGUCAAGGAUUGUGUCGCAUCGAGAAACACGUGUUUUUUUAACAUCCUGAAGCUUGUACUGGUUCGACACGACGAACAUGUUUUUCAACUGGUCUGUCAAGUGUUUCUUGGUUUUACUUCUCUACUUGGAAUGCACUAAAGGUAAGAAUUCAGUCACAUAUUGUAAAAUGAUGUCAAAACCACUCCAUAGCUGUGUUUCCUCCAAAUUCUGUCUUGCAUAUUAUACUACGUGUAAUGAUAGACAUCUUUGCUUUUGACAUCCACGCCGGGCCAAUAGCAGGAAGGAAGUCUGCCUUUGGGACAUCCAUUGUAUCAUGACGCAUGAUCGCCUUUCAUCACGCAUCUUGGAAGCUUGAUGGAAUACUUAGUGCCCUUUAACGGACGGCUUGUCUACUUUGAUGGAUCGAAGGAGGUACAGCGAAUGUGUUCUCUGCUUGUGCGACAUACUUCAGCAUAAUAGCCUUUCUUUCGAAUGUGUAUUGUUUUAUUAAAGGGUGGCUUUGG
Long non-coding RNA from Stegodyphus dumicola, 738 nucleotides. RefSeq lists it as uncharacterized. NCBI's taxonomy places the organism in Eukaryota, Metazoa, Arthropoda, Arachnida, Araneae, Eresidae. The record is from RefSeq and is a predicted model, not a curated record.